RNA transcript from Solanum dulcamara, 2471 nucleotides. RefSeq lists it as uncharacterized. The record is from RefSeq and is a predicted model, not a curated record. The transcript is spliced from 8 exons. Lineage: Eukaryota; Viridiplantae; Streptophyta; Magnoliopsida; Solanales; Solanaceae.
UGUGGUGGUGCGGGGUUUGCCAAAGUGUGGCCCCUCAAAUAUCUAUAAUUUCAGGCUGACAAAUUCAUAUUGAAAAUUUGGACAGAAACAAUCUCAUAGACGUAGUCACUCUUUCUCAAAUUGGUAAUUGGUCUAUAUUUCUAGUAAAAAAUUAAUUGAAAUUAAAGUAGGGCUAUAAUGACAUUUACAACAAAAUGGAAAUCAAUCAGCAGCCACUAAAAGAAGCAAUUGGAAUUUUUGGUGGAAAAUAAAUGGAAUUCAGAUGAAGAAACCUUAGGGCCAUUCAUGAAAUUCAUGCCCCAACAAAAUCCAAGUAACCUUUUUGUUUGUGCAUAUUUAUAUGUGGCUAUCUUCUUCAUCUUUCUUUGUAUUUCAGCAGUUGUUAAACUGAAUUCUCAUCUGAAAUCGCUGAUAAGGUUAGUUUAAGCUUUCAGAACUGUGAAAGGUUUCUUCUUUUUGACACCCCUUUCUCCUUAUAACCACUAAAUUUAUCUCCUGAUUUUGAUACAGAGAAUUUUAUUGAAGUUUAGUGAUUGGUUGAAUCGUAGCUCGCGAAUUGUGUCUCCUCUUCCCCUUCAAAUUACCUCAUAAAUUUUCACAUAACCCGAAGCCUCAUCCUUGGACUAACAAUUUUUCAGAACAAAGAUAUUAUUUUCCAGUAUUAGAAUGGAAUGCAUCCGAACAGAGCUGAAUGGUUAUAGAAUUAUCCUAUAGCCAAUGCCCACUUAGUUUAAGCUUAAGGUGUAGUUGUUGUAGUAGUUCAUGCUGGUACCUUUCUGUUGUUGUGUGUAGAGUUGUAGAUGAUGCUUGCUAGUAGAUAAAACCCUCCUUGUUGGAUUAUCUAUGAAGGGUGAAAGCAGAUAAUUGAUAUGAUUAUAAUGUAAAUGAACUAGUUCGUAGUGCCAAUUUGCAUAGAUUGCGCCUUUUUAGUUACUAACCAAUAGAGUUAAGGUUUUAGUUUGGGAGAAAUAUGUGCAGAAUGUGAGUGAAAGUCAAGUCGUUUACUGGUGUAUUGUGGAGAAGAAACAGAUAAAUUGAAGUCACGAAAAAAAAGGGAUAAUAUUUGUUUUCGUUUUGGUUUCCCUGUUUCACUUACUCAAGGAAACACAGAGUGAUAUUAAAGAGCUUAGAAAUUAGAUAGUCACCCUCUGCAACACUAACUUGAUAAAGCAGUAGAUUUUUUCAUUUCUGCAUAUUUCUUAAAUGCUUCUGAAGAAGGUAAGUAGGAAACAAACUUAUUCCAAAUUUCAUUGUAUUAUCUUUUGUUGUUGCUUCAAGGUGAGCAUAUCAUGGUUCAACAAUGUUAGGUCUUCAGAAUGUACAAGCCAUUAGCAGCUGUCAAUCAUUUCUGGAUACUACUGUGCUGCAUGAAGCCAUUCAUUGCAAGAGUAAAAAUUUCAAUCCUUUGAUUAGUAAUCUUAGUUCUGCUACCCUUGUGCGUUCUCCCGCUAAAGGAGUCAGCAGUUGUUCUUUCUCUUGGAAUUGGCUGAGUCAACUGAAAACCUAUAAACUCUCUCAGCAUGCUACUUCAUAUAGAUUGCUGUGCCGGUCACAAGAUGCUACUUCACCUGAAAAUGAGUAUCGCUCCUCCCGAAAUAUAGCCAUCAGCCUGUUCAGGCGAUACAAGAAUUUUCUUGAGCGCGGAGGAGGUGACAACUUAAAAGAGUUCAUCAGUGCUGGUGUGAAUGCAUAUGCUUUGGGAUGUACUGAUGAAGGAUUGAGGAAAGAAUUGUUUUCAUUGAAGGAAUCAGGUGUUGAAAUUGAAGCCAUGGAAACAUAUGGAGGAAGUACCAGCCUGAAGUCCAAGAUUUUAUCUGAGGAGGUUGAUGAGUGUAUUAUGUGGUUGAGCAUUAUAUUCAUCACCAUCCUAUGUACACCUCAACCAACUAUAGUUCGAUGGUCAUCCACAUCCCCAGUUUCUGAUGAAAUGAUAGUCCAGUGGAAGGGCUUCUGUGCAAUUAUAGCAAAUGCAUACUUUGUGAGAGGAAUGGCAUGGCUUCCAGUGAAGACUCUCCAACUAGAGCAGAUGGCAGUUGCUGGUCAUGCUGAAGAGCCCUCAGUUGUUGCUAGCCGGAUGAGAAUAGUUUUUACCACUCUAGAGAGUAAUCCGGUACUUUUGCUGGUGGGAGAUAACAGUACCCCGUGGAAUUAGACAAAGUGCGCACAAGCUGAUCGGGAUACCACGGUUAUAAAAAUAUAAUAAUGAUGACAAUUAGUGUUAGCGUGGAGAUUAUUCUUGGAUAUAUCCUUCCAUAAGAUGUUAAAAGGUUGUGAGUCCACAGUGGCCUAGAGGAUGAAGCAGCAGAUCCAGAAUUGUACUUCACAAAAAUGAAACAUAGUUCAACAAGUAUAUCUACAUAUCUUUAUGACUAUUUCAUCCAUGCUCUGUUAACAUGAAUAUUCUGUUACAAAAAUGUAUGUUUGACAUGCAAACUUUCAUUAAAUAUUCAGAGAGCAAACUUAAAAGGAUA